This 10073-nucleotide long non-coding RNA is filed under the name Daucus carota (carrot). RNAcentral's name for it is "long non-coding RNA (DCAR_LNC005381)". The record is from RNAcentral. Lineage: Eukaryota; Viridiplantae; Streptophyta; Magnoliopsida; Apiales; Apiaceae.
CCAUUUUUAAACACUUUUGAAAACCUGUAUUUUCUUUUUUUUAAGAUAAUAAAACCAAAAGAAUUUCAAACCUGAAAACAUUUAAUAAAAGAUUUGAAUGAGAACAUAAAUCAAAUGAUUUCAAAACCUGAAUUUCAAACUUAAAAGCCAUAAUAAGAGAAUUUCAAGAGAACAUUUAAACUUUAAUAAAUGAUUCGAAAGAGAACAUUUAAACCCCCUAAAAGCAACAGGAUCGCAUCCAGGUUACAGUAUUGAAAUUAGAAUCUACCACUAUUAUUACACAACAUCUCUUACCAAAUCAGAUCAUCUUCGAUAAGAAGAAUCACUGUCAACUAUUCCAGCUAUGACUUACACUUGAAUCCCUAUAGCACAGCUCUAGCUUGCACCAACCUCAUCAACUUUCCUGAACACUCCUCGACCACUGGAUCCUCAACUCUGUCUCCUCGCCUAGCAUUAGCCUUAUCCACAAUCUCAAUCAAUCAUCUCAUCUUUUAGCCUUUCUGAAAUGGUUAGAAAGGAAUAGCAAGGGUGAGCAACAAUGCUCAGCAAGUAAUAAUAAACAAUGAUAGUUCUGAAAUGAUAUAACAGAAGAUCACGAGUUCAAGAUAUAAGAGGAUUCAACCUGAGUUCAUGAGUUUCAUGGUAUUGUAUAGAAUGAUUUACAAUACCUUGCAGCAUUUAACUUGAGAAAUUCAAUCUUUCCAAAGAAUUAUUGAAUUGGACUAUCACAUUUUAAUUAAAACCAAGGUUAGGCAGCUGAUCAGUUCCGCACUAACCCCGAGCAGGCCCCGCCAUGCUCUAUCACUGGAUCCAAGGCACUCAUUGGCCUAACAUGACCACGAAUCUGGUCCACAGGUUUAUAUAAAAACAAUAAUCCAAUUCUAUAAUUCAAUAACAGGUCAACGUAUAACAACAGAACAUAAACACAAUCAAUAUCAAUGAUAGAAUAAUUCCAAAUCAAACUUUGAUAAUCAACUUUUCAUAAACCAGAGUCCAUCCUUUCAUAAAUCAUAGUUCAGGAAAUCCUUAACUAUUCAGUAUCCUCCAUUAUCGGCUAAGCAACUGAAUUUAGCCUGCUAAACCAGCAUGACAAUGGCGGGUUGAAUAAUCAAGAAGAUCCCAAGUCAUUCUAGGUUCUAAUCAUCACUGAGCAACACAUGCUUCAAUGACAAUCUGAACUUCGAAUUAAUUUGUAAAACUGGAAUUAUCUGAAUUUUUGAGGAUUAGAAAAGGAUGGAUAAAAAUAUUUGCACUUGCCAAAUAUGAAAAAGAGAGGAACGAAUAUUUGCAACACAUACGAAAAGAAUGAAUCAGAAUAAUCGCAAGAUAUCCAAAAGAAGGGUAUAGGAUACUUGCCUUAAAUCUGACUCCAGUUUCAUAGCUCAACCUCAUCUUUCCACUUUCACAAUCUAUCCAUCUCAUAAUCUCUAGACCAUCUCUAGCUAUACUCUAUUCGCCACAUCGCUUCGCUUACUCGAUUCAUCCCUUAUUCGCUUUUCAAUACCAUUCCGACUUUCUGACGUCUUCGAGCGUAUACGUCUCCUCCAAAUCCUUUACGAGAAUAAGAUAAUACUAUAGUCACUAAAUAAUAUAUCGCAUAUACAUAUCACGUAUACCGAUACCCACUUAUACAACCCUUUAAACUCAUCAAAUAUCACUUAACACAUAAUCAUGCUUUGACUCUACCAUAUAGUCCAAUCAUAUUCCACAUAACAUAUUAUCAAUUAAAUAUCAUAUAAAUCUUAUCGAAAAUCCGACAUCGUCUCGUCUAUUUAUAAGACUAUCCACCUGUUAUCCUAUUUUGUCCAACAACCAAUCAACCAAUUCCAAUUCCUAUAAUCCAUAUGUCCUUAUCCAAUAUUAAUCAAAUCAUGACACUAUGUCAUAUAAGUCAUUUAUCACGUAUAUAAUAUCAGGAAUAGACAUAUAUAUCACGUAAUCAUCAAUUAAUAACAAUCCAAUAACAUAUAAUCACAUUCAGCACAUUUAACAACAAUUAUUCACAUUCUCGACUCCAUCAUAUUAUUAUGUCAUAUCAAACUAGACUUUAUAAGCUUUCAUCUCUCUUUCGUUUCACUUGAUUCCGACUUACGGAUCAAAAGUUAUGACCAAAACCGUUUUCUGACUCCGCUCUCAACAUAUAAUACCUUACACCGAUAGCAGUCAACACAUUACACAUUAAGUCUCCCAUCCCAAUUGAUGUCAAGUCAAGUCUGGGGUUAAAAAAGAUUUUUCGGGAAUUUUCCAGAAUUUUUAAACAUUUUUCGGAAUUAAAACGGAUAAAAGAAUCACUUUUUGAAUAAAUAAUCAAGUCCGGAUAUUCGAAAUUGGACUUGAAAUCAUUCAUAAACAAUUGUCGAGCCUUGAAAAUAAUUUGGAAAAAUAUUUUAAAGCUCGAAACUAUUUUUCGGAAUUUUUAAAUCAAAAAGGAUUAAUUAAAUCCAAUUAAUUAAUCAAUUAAAAUCAAUUAAUAAUUAAUUAAAAUAAUUAAUCAAUUAAUAUUUAAAUUAAUUGACCAAUUAAAAUAAUUAAUUACUAAUUAAAAUUAAUUAAUAAAUCAAAUUAGAUUUAUUUUUGAAUAAAGAAAUAAUUAAAAACUAUUUUUGAAAUUUAAAAUAAUUAAAUAAAACAAUUUUUGAAAAUUAAAAUUAAAAAGGUUUAAAGUGUCAAUGUUUAAAACUUUGUCGCAAGGUUUAAACUGCAACUUUUCAAAGUUACAGGGUUUGAAUCGUUAAAACCGAAACUAUAGUACCCAACCUUCACCAUCUUCAAAAGAUGGGUGGCCAAACGGAAAUUUUCCGCCGGCCACCACCCAACUCGCCGGAAACGACCAUACGAGCCACCACCUUCAUCCAAACUCUCCAGAAUUAAAGUAUAUACAUCCAUAAACUCGUACAAACAAUCACUUUCACCAAACCACACUUGUUUUAGCCGGAUUUUGUCCGGAAAGAGGGGCCGUCGUCGAGUUCUUCAAGAACUCCGGCGAACCCGACCCACGAAUCCCACAUACAAUUUGAACACUGAAAUCGAUUCCUUGCAACCCCUAGAACAUGCCAAUACCCUUCAAUUUUACCCAGACUUCCCCGAUUAAAAAGCCCCAAAAUCGAAUUGAAACAUUCAAGAACACUCAAGAACACCCCUCAAGAAUCAAACCCACUUUUCUAGGUGUUAUGGAACUCAAAAAUCAACAUAUAAUAUACCAAAACGACGAGAAAAACACGUUCUACAACAUGGAAUCAUCCAAACAAUCAAACAAACACGUUUACAAAAAUUCAUCAUUUAAAUCAUAUAAAUUCGAAUUUUGAAAAAUAAAUAUAAAAUCACCUGACAAAUCUGCACAUAAACGGAUGAUUGUACUAGAUUCUACGCGUCGAUAGCUUCGUUUUGACUAUUCAUACGCCUCCAUCGGAUUCAAAUAACACCUUCAAAACCUUGUUUGAUUACGAAGAACACGAAGAACGCAGCUCGGUUUCUCUCGGUAUUUGUGAACAGAAACUGGUGAAAAUGAUUUACGGUUGAAAAUAAGCUCUAGAAAGGUCUAUUUAUAUUUACAAAUAAUUGGUACCCCUUUGGAUCGUUUAUGACAUGAAAAUACGUAUUUAAUAGCUUUAUAUUAAUAAAGCAGGGUCCAAUCGGUACUGGUUUUCGAGAUAAUCAUCAAAACAGGACUUUUUAAUCAGUCAUUAGUAUGCGGGUCCCAUCGCAAUUAUUACAAGAUAAGAAUUAAUAUAAUAAUCAAAAUAUCUAGUUUCACGCUUAUCGAGACAAACUGGAUAAUUAUCAACAAUUAAAAUACCCGAAAAACUCCGCCGGACCGACUCCGGGGAAAACCGUACUCCGGAUCGAAAAAGUCAAAACACGAAAAAUGUCCGGAAUAUUCAAAUUAGGCUAAAGGUGAGUUUUGUUGAAACUUCCGGGAAGAAAAUUUGCUACCUCGUUACGAGUGGACGGUUUUACGGAAGUCAAAUAAUUAAUAAAUAAAUAUAAAUAUACGCAAUUAAAUCCGUAAAUCGAUUAUAAAAUCAUCUAACAUUCCAUAAAUCGAUAUGAAAAUAUCCAAAUAAACUAUAUUUUCUCCUGAGCAUAUAGAAAUUGAAAUCUCUCAAAUACGAACACAUAUGAGCAGUCAACUCAAUAAACCAGAUAAUACAAAAUUCACAAAAAUUCAUAUAUUAAUCAUAUAAUAUUAAUAAUUAAUCAUAACUAAUUAACAAACAAAUUCACCAAUACCACUUAAUCACAUAACACAUAUAUUCACAUAAUAUUCAUACAGAAUUUUCAAAACAAUAUAUGAAAAUCAGUUUUGAAAAUACAAUUAUUUAUCAAUAACACAAUAACCCGGGGUUUAAAUAUAAAACCUUGAAAACUCAUUAAACUGGAAUAAAAUAUUAAAUCUUAUUCCCUUCUUUGAAGAAAAUCACUUUUAAUACUAAUAAAAAUAUUUUUAAAAAUCCGGGUCAUUACAAUCUACCCUCCUUAUAGGGAUUCCGUCCUCGGAAUCAGAGAAAGAAGGAGGACGCAUAAUUAGUAUAAUCCAUAUUAAUCCACAGAACAAGUAUAAUCAUAUAAAACUAUUCACAUAAUCAAUUCACUUUUCAACUAAAGCCAACAAUAAUAUUUAGACAAAUAGAUUUAUAAUAAUCAAAUCUAAAUUUAAUAAUAUGGGAUAUUACAUUCUACCCCCCUUAUAAGGAUUCUGUCCUCAGAAUCCGCGAUGAGAACUAAAACGUAUCAUUUAUAAGAUCAUUGUACACGCUUCAUAAUAUCACAUGCUCAUCCGCCUUUGAUCAACUUUGGCAUACCUUCAAAGUUAAAGAAAUAGGAGAAUCAAAACCUUCACAAUUGCAAACUUCAUUUCCCAAGAAUCAAUCUUUGGGAAUUUCGGAGGAACAAGAUAUUUUCAAAAUAGGUCACAUUGGAAUACAAGAGUGACUGGGAGAUCAAUAAGAUCAAUUGAACUUAAUGUUGCGUGUCCAUAUUAGACACUACUAAAGGUUGUUAACCUUCUUGUAAUCACAACACACACAAGUGAUGGCGUCCCAUCCAACUCCUAUCACACAGACAGGUAUACCUUGUGUCCCCUAUACAUAGGGUUGUUCAUCCCAAUCAGAUGGAAAGAAUCCAAGAAAUCUCAAUGAGCAUCAAGGAAUGUUAAGGAUUAUCGAGGAAUAUAUUAAGGAAUAUCGAAAAGAUAUCAAAGAAUAUCAAAGAGUGUCAAAGAAUAUCAACGAAUAUUAAGGGAUAUCAAAGAAUAUGGAAGAAUAUCAAGGGAUAUCAAAGAAUAUCAAAUAAUAUCAAGGAAUUCCACUGUCUCUUCAUAAACACGCCUUUAUCAUACACCGAUUCAAUACUAACUCACACCAAUAAUCAAUAUCAUUGUCAUCAUAGAAUUCGAGAAAUUGAAGAUCUUCUUUAUCAGAACUUUUUAUAGAAUAGGUAUCAUAAUAAUAACUCGCUGAUGAGGAAAACAAUCAAAAGAAUCUUUAGUUGAAGAGAGGUAUUGCCAAGGUCUUCUCAGAUUUUCGCUCUGCUUCAAUAAAUCGUUGUUCGUCGUAUGUCUUCUUCUCCACGUUCUCGAUAAUCAAUCGAUGUUGACUCGUAAUAACCUUGUAAAAUUUCAUCGUCGACAUUAUCGUUCGUAAUAACUCUCGCCCAUGUAGUCUUCGUUUUUUUUUUUUUUCUAUUUCAUUCCAUCUGCCUUUGAAGUCCAUAGCACAGCACGUAGCAUAUCUUCGAUUAUCUGGAUCAUCAACCUGUGGGUUAUGGGCCCACCUUGAUGCCAAUUGAAAUCCCGAUUAGCUCGAAGCGUUGUCGUCGAGGACUAACGUUCUAACUUACUCGUAGACAUCAUCUCUAAUAACUGGACUCCAUUCCACGUACUCUCUAUCAUUCACUUCUCACCUAUCAACCUCUAUCUACCAAUCUCUCCUUCUAAUCCAAUACAACUCAUACUCUACACUUACUCUUCAUAUCUUCACUCAAAACAAUAUACAUCUUCCAAAUAUCUGACAUGGUCAACAUACUAUGAACCAUGCAUUUAUAUCAUCCUCAAAUCAAUACAAUAAUCCAAUUUCAAAUAUGCAGUAUAGUCAGAAUACUCUGAACUCUGCAUUUUCACCAUUCUCAACUCAAUCAUUCACUAUCAAACUCUUCUAUAUAGGUCUAAUACUGACCUUUUCCACAAUUCACCAUCUCAAUUAGUCAACAUACUAGAAAUCAUAUGUCUAAACUUAAGAAUCCUAAUCUCUUCAAAUAUCCACACUUAACUUGAUCAUCUAACUAAACUCUAUGCUUCACUCACAUCUCUAGACUAUUCCUAAAUAGUCCGACCAUACCUCUAUGUGAGGUUACACCACAUUCUUCUCUAGAAAACCUAUAACUAUGAUCUAUAUUCUAAUUUCAAAUACUUAUAACCUGUGGCUCUGAUACCAACUGUGACGGUCCGAGAAUCCGGGGGCCUGGAUUCUGACGUCACCACAUAAAAACCUUUUUAAAACACUUUCGAAAACCUGAAAAUUUUUUUUUUUUUUUUUUUAUUUUUAGAUAAUAAAAUCAGAGAAUUUAAAACCUGAAAACAUUUAAUAAAAGAUUUGAAUGAGAACAUAAAUCGAAUGAUUUCAAAACCUGAAUUUCAAACUUGAAAGCCAUAAUAGGAGAAUUUCAAGAGAACAUUUAAACUUUAAUAAAUGAUUCGAAAGAGAACAUUUAAACCCCCUAAAAGCAACAGGAUCGCAUCCAGGUUACAGUAUUGAAAUUAGAAUCUACCACUAUUAUUACACAACAUCUCUUACCAAAUCAGAUCAUCUUCGAUAAGAAGAAUCACUGUCAACUAUUCCAGCUUGCACCAACCUCAUCAACUUUCCUGAACACUCCUCGACCACUGGAUCCUCAACUCUGUCUCCUCGCCUAGCAUUAGCCUUAUUCACAAUCUCAAUCAAUCAUCUCAUCUUUAAGCCUUUCUGAAAUGGUUAGAAAGGAAUAGCAAGGGUGAGCAACAAUGCUCAGCAAGUAAUAAUAAACAAUGAUAGUUCUGAAAUGAUAUAACAGAAGUUCACGAGUUCAAGAUAUAAGAGGAUUCAACCUGAGUUCAUGAGUUCAUGGUAUUGUAUAGAAUGAUUUACAAUACCUUGCAGCAUUUAAACUGAGAAAUUCAAUCUUUCCAAAGAAUUAUUGAAUUGGACUAUCACAUUUUAAUUAAAACCAAGGUUAGGCAGCUGAUCAGUUCCGCACUAACCCCGAGCAGGCCCCGCCAUGCUCUAUCACUGGAUCCAAGGCACUCAUUGGCCUAACAUGACCACGAAUCUGGUCCACAGGUUUAUAUAAAAACAAUAAUCCAAUUCUAUAAUUCAAUAACAGGUCAACGUAUAACAACAGAACAUAAACACAAUCAAUAUCAAUGAUAGAAUAAUUCCAAAUCAAACUUUGAUAAUCAACUUUUCAUAAACCAGAGUCCAUCCUUCCAUAAAUCAUAGUUCAGGAAAUCCUUAACUAUUCAGUAUCCUCCAUUAUCGGCUAAGCAACUGAAUUUAGCCUGCUAAACCAGCAUGACAAUGGCGGGUUGAAUAAUCAAGAAGAUCCCAAGUCAUUCUAGGUUCUAAUCAUCACUGAGCAACACAUGCUUCAAUGACAAUCUGAACUUCGAAUUAAUUUGUAAAACUGGAAUUAUCUGAAUUUUUGAGGAUUAGAAAAGGAUGGAUAAAAAUAUUUGCACUUGCCAAAUAUGAAAAAGAGAGGAACGAAUAUUUGCAACACAUACGAAAAGAAUGAAUCAGAAUAAUCGCAAGAUAUCCAAAAGAAGGGUAUAGGAUACUUGCCUUAAAUCUGACUCCAGUUUCAUAGCUCAACCUCAUCUUUCCACUUUCACAAUCUAUCCAUCUCAUAAUCUCUAGACCAUCUCUAGCUAUACUCUAUUCGCCACAUCGCUUCGCUUACUCGAUUCAUCCCUUAUUCGCUUUUCAAUACCAUUCCGACUUUCUGACGUCUUCGAGCGUAUACGUCUCCUCCAAAUCCUUUACGAGAAUAAGAUAAUACUAUAGUCACUAAAUAAUAUAUCGCAUAUACAUAUCACGUAUACCGAUACCCACUUAUACAACCCUUUAAACUCAUCAAAUAUCACUUAACACAUAAUCAUGCUUUGACUCUAUCAUAUAGUCAAGUCAUAUUCCACAUAACAUAUUACCAAUCACUUAUCAUAUAAAUCCUAUCGAUAAUCUGACAUCAUCUCGUCUAUUUAUUAGACUAUCCUCCGGUCAACCUAUUUCAAUCAACAACCAAUCAACCAACUCCAGUCAUCAUAAUCCAUAUAUCCUUAUCCAAUAUUAAUCAAAUCAUGACACUAUGUCAUAUAAGUCAUUUAUCACGUAUAUAAUAUCAGGAAUAGACAUAUAUAUCACGUAAUCAUCAAUUAAUAACAAUCCAAUAACAUAUAAUCACAUUCAGCACAUUUAACAACAAUUAUUCACAUUCUCGACUCCAUCAUAUUAUUAUGUCAUAUCAAACUAGACUUUAUAAGCUUUCAUCUCUCUUUCGUUUCACUUGAUUCCGACUUACGGAUCAAAAGUUAUGACCAAAACCGUUUUCUGACUCCGCUCUCAACAUAUAAUACCUUACACCGAUAGCAGACAACACAUUACACAUUAAGUCUCCCAUCCCAAUUGAUGUCAAGUCAAGUCUUGGGUUAAAAAUGAUUUUUCGGGAAUUUUCUGGAAUUUUUAAACAUUUUUCGGAAUUAAAAUCGAUAAAAGAAUCACUUUUCGGAUAAAUAAUCAAGUCCCAAAUACUUGAAAUUGGACUUGAAAUCAUUCAUAAACAAUUAUCGAGCCUUGAAAAUAAUUUGGAAAAAUAUUUUAAAGCUCGAAACUAUUUUUCGGAAUUUUUAAAUCAAAAAGGAUUAAUUAAAUCCAAUUAAUUAAUCAAUUAAAAUCAAUUAAUAAUUAAUUAAAAUAAUUAAUCAAUUAAUAUUUAAAUUAAUUGACCAAUUAAAAUAAUUAAUUACUAAUUAAAAUUAAUUAAUAAACUAAUUUAGAUUUAUUUUUGAAUAAAGAAAUAAUUAAAAACUAUUUUUGGAAUUUAAAAUAAUUAAAUAAAACAAUUUUAGAAAAUUAAAUCAAAAGGUUUAUUUUGUAAACUUUUGAAAGUUUUGUGCAGGGUUUAAAGUGCAACUUUUCAAAGUUACAGGGGGUAAUUCAUAAGUUUCAAAACCUGAGUACAAAAACUUCAUCAUCUUCAAAACUUCGGUGACCAAACAGCAAUAAGCCGCCGGCCACCACACUAACUUGCCGGAUUUUCGUUUCCAGGCGUCCUCCACUCACCAUCUACUCCAGAUCAGUAGUACACACACCCAUAAAUCAAUCCCCCAUCUUUAAUUAGGCAGAAGUCGCGCGAAUUCGCCGGAAAAUCCGGCCGAAGUCGGCGACUUCCCGCCGCCGAUGGCGGCGAUUCGAGCCACCUCCGCUCAAACCAAGCACACCAGCAUACUCCCCUUUCUCUCCUCUUUCUAUUCAUAUAUACCACUACUGCCCAGAUUUAGCGGAACCCAUUUUCCGGCCAAAAUUCAAACUUUUCCGGCAACAAGCUCAAGAACACCAAGAACACAAUUUCAAUAAUCAAACUGACUUUUCUACAUGUUAUUGAACUCCGUUUUUGACAUAUAAUAUACCAAAACGACGAGAAAAACAUGCUCUACAUCAUAGAAUCAUCAAAUCACAUAAACGGAAUCGUUUGCAAAAAUUCAUCAUUUAAAUCAUAUAAACUCGAAUUUUAGAAAAAUAAUCUAAAAUCACCUGUUGAAUCUGCAUAUAAACGGAUGAUUAAACUUGAUUCUACGCGUCGAUAGCUUCGUUUUGACUAUUUAUACGCCUCCAUCGGAUUCCAAUAACACCUUCAAAUCUUCGUUUGAUUAUGAAGAACACGAAGAACACCGCUCGGUUUCUCUCGAUAUUCGUGCAGAGAAACUGUUGAAAUGAUUUCUACGGUGAAAAUAAGUUACAGGAAAGUCUAUUUAUAUUUACAAAUAAUUGGUACCCCUUUGGAUCGUUUAUGACAUGAAAAUACGUAUUUAAUAGCUUUAUAUU